CGGCGUGCUUAACACAUGCAAGUCGAACGGAAAGGCCCUGCUUUUGUGGGGUGCUCGAGUGGCGAACGGGUGAGUAACACGUGAGUAACCUGCCCUUGACUUUGGGAUAACUUCAGGAAACUGGGGCUAAUACCGGAUAGGAGCUCCUGCUGCAUGGUGGGGGUUGGAAAGUUUCGGCGGUUGGGGAUGGACUCGCGGCUUAUCAGCUUGUUGGUGGGGUAGUGGCUUACCAAGGCUUUGACGGGUAGCCGGCCUGAGAGGGUGACCGGCCACAUUGGGACUGAGAUACGGCCCAGACUCCCACGGGAGGCAGCAGUGGGGAAUAUUGCACAAUGGGCGGAAGCCUGAUGCAGCAACGCCGCGUGCGGGAUGACGGCCUUCGGGUUGUAAACCGCUUUCGCCUGUGACGAAGCGUGAGUGACGGUAAUGGGUAAAGAAGCACCGGCUAACUACGUGCCAGCAGCCGCGGUGAUACGUAGGGUGCGAGCGUUGUCCGGAUUUAUUGGGCGUAAAGGGCUCGUAGGUGGUUGAUCGCGUCGGAAGUGUAAUCUUGGGGCUUAACCCUGAGCGUGCUUUCGAUACGGGUUGACUUGAGGAAGGUAGGGGAGAAUGGAAUUCCUGGUGGAGCGGUGGAAUGCGCAGAUAUCAGGAGGAACACCAGUGGCGAAGGCGGUUCUCUGGGCCUUUCCUGACGCUGAGGAGCGAAAGCGUGGGGAGCGAACAGGCUUAGAUACCCUGGUAGUCCACGCUGUAAACGGUGGGUACUAGGUGUGGGGUCCAUUCCACGGGUUCCGUGCCGUAGCUAACGCUUUAAGUACCCCGCCUGGGGAGUACGGCCGCAAGGCUAAAACUCAAAGGAAUUGACGGGGCCCCGCACAAGCGGCGGAGCAUGCGGAUUAAUUCGAUGCAACGCGUAGAACCUUACCUGGGUUUGACAUGGAUCGGGAGUGCUCAGAGAUGGGUGUGCCUCUUUUGGGGUCGGUUCACAGGUGGUGCAUGGCUGUCGUCAGCUCGUGUCGUGAGAUGUUGGGUUAAGUCCCGCAACGAGCGCAACCCUUGUUCACUGUUGCCAGCACGUUAUGGUGGGGACUCAGUGGAGACCGCCGGGGUCAACUCGGAGGAAGGUGGGGAUGACGUCAAGUCAUCAUGCCCCUUAUGUCCAGGGCUUCACGCAUGCUACAAUGGCUGGUACAGAGAGUGGCGAGCCUGUGAGGGUGAGCGAAUCUCGGAAAGCCGGUCUCAGUUCGGAUUGGGGUCUGCAACUCGACCUCAUGAAGUCGGAGUCGCUAGUAAUCGCAGAUCAGCAACGCUGCGGUGAAUACGUUCCCGGGGCUUGUACACACCGCCCGUCAAGUCAUGAAAGUUGGUAACACCCGAAGCCGGUGGCCUAACCGUUGUGGGGGAGCCGUCGAAGGUGGGACUGGUGAUUAGGACUAA
Molecule: ribosomal RNA, 1437 nt
Filed under: uncultured organism
Description: 16S ribosomal RNA
Rfam family: Bacterial small subunit ribosomal RNA
Source: RNAcentral